RNAcentral lists this ribosomal RNA (1510 nucleotides) under Klebsiella pneumoniae IS53. Its description in RNAcentral is "SSU rRNA". It matches the Rfam family "Bacterial small subunit ribosomal RNA". The record is from RNAcentral. Lineage: Bacteria; Pseudomonadati; Pseudomonadota; Gammaproteobacteria; Enterobacterales; Enterobacteriaceae.
UUAAAUUGAAGAGUUUGAUCAUGGCUCAGAUUGAACGCUGGCGGCAGGCCUAACACAUGCAAGUCGAGCGGUAGCACAGAGAGCUUGCUCUCGGGUGACGAGCGGCGGACGGGUGAGUAAUGUCUGGGAAACUGCCUGAUGGAGGGGGAUAACUACUGGAAACGGUAGCUAAUACCGCAUAAUGUCGCAAGACCAAAGUGGGGGACCUUCGGGCCUCAUGCCAUCAGAUGUGCCCAGAUGGGAUUAGCUAGUAGGUGGGGUAACGGCUCACCUAGGCGACGAUCCCUAGCUGGUCUGAGAGGAUGACCAGCCACACUGGAACUGAGACACGGUCCAGACUCCUACGGGAGGCAGCAGUGGGGAAUAUUGCACAAUGGGCGCAAGCCUGAUGCAGCCAUGCCGCGUGUGUGAAGAAGGCCUCGGGUUGUAAAGCACUUUCAGCGGGGAGGAAGGCGGUGAGGUUAAUAACCUCACCGAUUGACGUUACCCGCAGAAGAAGCACCGGCUAACUCCGUGCCAGCAGCCGCGGUAAUACGGAGGGUGCAAGCGUUAAUCGGAAUUACUGGGCGUAAAGCGCACGCAGGCGGUCUGUCAAGUCGGAUGUGAAAUCCCCGGGCUCAACCUGGGAACUGCAUUCGAAACUGGCAGGCUAGAGUCUUGUAGAGGGGGGUAGAAUUCCAGGUGUAGCGGUGAAAUGCGUAGAGAUCUGGAGGAAUACCGGUGGCGAAGGCGGCCCCCUGGACAAAGACUGACGCUCAGGUGCGAAAGCGUGGGGAGCAAACAGGAUUAGAUACCCUGGUAGUCCACGCCGUAAACGAUGUCGAUUUGGAGGUUGUGCCCUUGAGGCGUGGCUUCCGGAGCUAACGCGUUAAAUCGACCGCCUGGGGAGUACGGCCGCAAGGUUAAAACUCAAAUGAAUUGACGGGGGCCCGCACAAGCGGUGGAGCAUGUGGUUUAAUUCGAUGCAACGCGAAGAACCUUACCUGGUCUUGACAUCCACAGAACUUUCCAGAGAUGGAUUGGUGCCUUCGGGAACUGUGAGACAGGUGCUGCAUGGCUGUCGUCAGCUCGUGUUGUGAAAUGUUGGGUUAAGUCCCGCAACGAGCGCAACCCUUAUCCUUUGUUGCCAGCGGUCCGGCCGGGAACUCAAAGGAGACUGCCAGUGAUAAACUGGAGGAAGGUGGGGAUGACGUCAAGUCAUCAUGGCCCUUACGACCAGGGCUACACACGUGCUACAAUGGCAUAUACAAAGAGAAGCGACCUCGCGAGAGCAAGCGGACCUCAUAAAGUAUGUCGUAGUCCGGAUUGGAGUCUGCAACUCGACUCCAUGAAGUCGGAAUCGCUAGUAAUCGUAGAUCAGAAUGCUACGGUGAAUACGUUCCCGGGCCUUGUACACACCGCCCGUCACACCAUGGGAGUGGGUUGCAAAAGAAGUAGGUAGCUUAACCUUCGGGAGGGCGCUUACCACUUUGUGAUUCAUGACUGGGGUGAAGUCGUAACAAGGUAACCG